This 253-nucleotide ribosomal RNA is filed under the name uncultured bacterium. RNAcentral's name for it is "partial 16S ribosomal RNA". It matches the Rfam family "Bacterial small subunit ribosomal RNA", at positions 524 to 776 of the family's 1533-position model. The record is from RNAcentral.
UACGGAGGGGGCAAGCGUUGUCCGGAAUUACUGGGCGUAAAGCGCACGUAGGCGGCUUUGUAAGUUAGAGGUGAAAGCCCAGGGCUUAACCCUGGAAUUGCCUUUAAGACUGCAUCGCUAGAAUCGUGGAGAGGUGAGUGGAAUUCCCAGUGUAGCGGUGAAAUGCGUAGAUAUUGGGAGGAACACCAGUGGCGAAGGCGGCUCGCUGGACCGGUACUGACGCUGAUGCGCGAAAGCGUGGGGAGCAAACAGG